This 253-nucleotide ribosomal RNA is filed under the name uncultured bacterium. Its description in RNAcentral is "partial 16S ribosomal RNA". It matches the Rfam family "Bacterial small subunit ribosomal RNA", at positions 524 to 776 of the family's 1533-position model. The record is from RNAcentral.
UACGGGGGGGGCAAGCGUUGUUCGGAAUUACUGGGCGUAAAGGGCUCGUAGGCGGCCAACUAAGUCAGACGUGAAAUCCCUCGGCUUAACCGGGGAACUGCAUCUGAUACUGGAUGGCUUGAGUUCGGGAGAGGGAUGCGGAAUUCCAGGUGUAGCGGUGAAAUGCGUAGAUAUCUGGAAGAACACCGGUGGCGAAGGCGGCAUCCUGGACCGGCACUGACGCUGAGGAGCGAAAGCCAGGGGAGCAAACGGG